Molecule: non-coding RNA, 90 nt
Organism: Acanthosepion pharaonis
Lineage: Eukaryota; Metazoa; Mollusca; Cephalopoda; Sepiida; Sepiidae
Source: the annotation of a GenBank genome assembly
UCCCAUUCCCUUACAAUCACUGUAGUUAAGCAACACUGAGGCUGGUAAGUACCUAGAUGGGUGACCACUUGGAAAUACCAGGUGCUGUAA